AUUGAACGCUGGCGGCAGGCUUAACGCAUGCAAGUCGAGCGGGGGAAGGUAGCUUGCUACCGGACCUAGCGGCGGACGGGUGAGUAAUGCUUAGGAAUCUGCCUAUUAGUGGGGGACAACAUCUCGAAAGGGAUGCUAAUACCGCAUACGUCCUACGGGAGAAAGCAGGGGAUCUUCGGACCUUGCGCUAAUAGAUGAGCCUAAGUCGGAUUAGCUAGUUGGUGGGGUAAAGGCCUACCAAGGCGACGAUCUGUGGCGGGUCUGAGAGGAUGAUCCGCCACACUGGGACUGAGACACGGCCCAGACUCCUACGGGAGGCAGCAGUGGGGAAUAUUGGACAAUGGGGGGAACCCUGAUCCAGCCAUGCCGCGUGUGUGAAGAAGGCCUUAUGGUUGUAAAGCACUUUAAGCGAGGAGGAGGCUACUCUAGUUAAUACCUAGGGAUAGUGGACGUUACUCGCAGAAUAAGCACCGGCUAACUCUGUGCCAGCAGCCGCGGUAA
Molecule: ribosomal RNA, 501 nt
Filed under: uncultured bacterium
Lineage: Bacteria
Description: partial 16S ribosomal RNA
Rfam family: Bacterial small subunit ribosomal RNA
Source: RNAcentral